This 447-nucleotide ribosomal RNA is filed under the name uncultured bacterium. RNAcentral's name for it is "SSU rRNA". It matches the Rfam family "Bacterial small subunit ribosomal RNA", at positions 26 to 518 of the family's 1533-position model. The record is from RNAcentral.
AGAACGAACGCUGGCGGCAUGCCUAACACAUGCAAGUCGAACGAGACCUUCGGGUCUAGUGGCGCACGGGUGCGUAACGCGUGGGAAUCUGCCCUUAGGUACGGAAUAACAGUGAGAAAUUACUGCUAAUACCGUAUGAUGUCUUCGGACCAAAGAUUUAUCGCCUAGGGAUGAGCCCGCGUUGGAUUAGCUAGUUGGUGGGGUAAAGGCCUACCAAGGCGACGAUCCAUAGCUGGUCUGAGAGGAUGAUCAGCCACACUGGGACUGAGACACGGCCCAGACUCCUACGGGAGGCAGCAGUGGGGAAUAUUGGACAAUGGGCGAAAGCCUGAUCCAGCAAUGCCGCGUGAGUGAAGAAGGCCUUCGGGUUGUAAAGCUCUUUUACCCGGGAACGAUAAUGACUGUACCGGGAGAAUAAGCCCCGGCUAACUCCGUGCCAGCAGCCGC